Molecule: ribosomal RNA, 252 nt
Filed under: uncultured bacterium
Lineage: Bacteria
Description: partial 16S ribosomal RNA
Rfam family: Bacterial small subunit ribosomal RNA
Source: RNAcentral
UACGGAGGAUGCGAGCGUUAUCCGGAUUUAUUGGGUUUAAAGGGUGCGCAGGCGGCACGGCAAGCCGGCAGUCAAAUCGCGGGGCUCAACCCCGCCCAGCCGUCGGAACUGCCGGGCUAGAGUGGGCGAGAAGUGCGCGGAAUGCGUGGUGUAGCGGUGAAAUGCAUAGAUAUCACGCAGAACUCCGAUUGCGAAGGCAGCGCACCGGCGCCCUACUGACGCUCAGGCACGAAAGCGUGGGUAUCGAACAGG